RNAcentral lists this ribosomal RNA (2772 nucleotides) under Escherichia coli. Its description in RNAcentral is "bacterial LSU rRNA". The record is from RNAcentral. Lineage: Bacteria; Pseudomonadati; Pseudomonadota; Gammaproteobacteria; Enterobacterales; Enterobacteriaceae.
AGCGUACACGGUGGAUGCCCUGGCAGUCAGAGGCGAUGAAGGACGUGCUAAUCUGCGAUAAGCGUCGGUAAGGUGAUAUGAACCGUUAUAACCGGCGAUUUCCGAAUGGGGAAACCCAGUGUGUUUCGACACACUAUCAUUAACUGAAUCCAUAGGUUAAUGAGGCGAACCGGGGGAACUGAAACAUCUAAGUACCCCGAGGAAAAGAAAUCAACCGAGAUUCCCCCAGUAGCGGCGAGCGAACGGGGAGCAGCCCAGAGCCUGAAUCAGURUGUGUGUUAGUGGAAGCGUCUGGAAAGGCRCGCGAUACAGGGUGACAGCCCCGUACACAAAAAUGCACAUGCUGUGAGCUCGAUGAGUAGGGCGGGACACGUGGUAUCCUGUCUGAAUAUGGGGGGACCAUCCUCCAAGGCUAAAUACUCCUGACUGACCGAUAGUGAACCAGUACCGUGAGGGAAAGGCGAAAAGAACCCCGGCGAGGGGAGUGAAAAAGAACCUGAAACCGUGUACRUACAAGCAGUGGGAGCACGCUUAGGCGUGUGACUGCGUACCUUUUGUAUAAUGGGUCAGCGACUUAUAUUCUGUAGCAAGGUUAACCGAAUAGGGGAGCCGAAGGGAAACCGAGUCUUAACUGGGCGUUAAGUUGCAGGGUAUAGACCCGAAACCCGGUGAUCUAGCCAUGGGCAGGUUGAAGGUUGGGUAACACUAACUGGAGGACCGAACCGACUAAUGUUGAAAAAUUAGCGGAUGACUUGUGGCUGGGGGUGAAAGGCCAAUCAAACCGGGAGAUAGCUGGUUCUCCCCGAAAGCUAUUUAGGUAGCGCCUCGUGAAUUCAUCUCCGGGGGUAGAGCACUGUUUCGGCAAGGGGGUCAUCCCGACUUACCAACCCGAUGCAAACUGCGAAUACCGGAGAAUGUUAUCACGGGAGACACACGGCGGGUGCUAACGUCCGUCGUGAAGAGGGAAACAACCCAGACCGCCAGCUAAGGUCCCAAAGUCAUGGUUAAGUGGGAAACGAUGUGGGAAGGCCCAGACAGCCAGGAUGUUGGCUUAGAAGCAGCCAUCAUUUAAAGAAAGCGUAAUAGCUCACUGGUCGAGUCGGCCUGCGCGGAAGAUGUAACGGGGCUAAACCAUGCACCGAAGCUGCGGCAGCGACACUAUGUGUUGUUGGGUAGGGGAGCGUUCUGUAAGCCUGUGAAGGUGUGCUGUGAGGCAUGCUGGAGGUAUCAGAAGUGCGAAUGCUGACAUAAGUAACGAUAAAGCGGGUGAAAAGCCCGCUCGCCGGAAGACCAAGGGUUCCUGUCCAACGUUAAUCGGGGCAGGGUGAGUCGACCCCUAAGGCGAGGCCGAAAGGCGUAGUCGAUGGGAAACAGGUUAAUAUUCCUGUACUUGGUGUUACUGCGAAGGGGGGACGGAGAAGGCUAUGUUGGCCGGGCGACGGUUGUCCCGGUUUAAGCGUGUAGGCUGGUUUUCCAGGCAAAUCCGGAAAAUCAAGGCUGAGGCGUGAUGACGAGGCACUACGGUGCUGAAGCAACAAAUGCCCUGCUUCCAGGAAAAGCCUCUAAGCAUCAGGUAACAUCAAAUCGUACCCCAAACCGACACAGGUGGUCAGGUAGAGAAUACCAAGGCGCUUGAGAGAACUCGGGUGAAGGAACUAGGCAAAAUGGUGCCGUAACUUCGGGAGAAGGCACGCUGAUAUGUAGGUGAAGUCCCUUGCGGAUGGAGCUGAAAUCAGUCGAAGAUACCAGCUGGCUGCAACUGUUUAUUAAAAACACAGCACUGUGCAAACACGAAAGUGGACGUAUACGGUGUGACGCCUGCCCGGUGCCGGAAGGUUAAUUGAUGGGGUYAGCGCAAGCGAAGCUCUUGAUCGAAGCCCCGGUAAACGGCGGCCGUAACUAUAACGGUCCUAAGGUAGCGAAAUUCCUUGUCGGGUAAGUUCCGACCUGCACGAAUGGCGUAAUGAUGGCCAGGCUGUCUCCACCCGAGACUCAGUGAAAUUGAACUCGCUGUGAAGAUGCAGUGUACCCGCGGCAAGACGGAAAGACCCCGUGAACCUUUACUAUAGCUUGACACUGAACAUUGAGCCUUGAUGUGUAGGAUAGGUGGGAGGCUUWGAAGUGUGGACGCCAGUCUGCAUGGAGCCGACCUUGAAAUACCACCCUUUAAUGUUUGAUGUUCUAACGUKGACCCGURAUCCGGGUUGCGGACAGUGUCUGGUGGGUAGUUUGACUGGGGCGGUCUCCUCCUAAAGAGUAACGGAGGAGCACGAAGGUUGGCUAAUCCUGGUCGGACAUCAGGAGGUUAGUGCAAUGGCAUAAGCCAGCUUGACUGCGAGCGUGACGGCGCGAGCAGGUGCGAAAGCAGGUCAUAGUGAUCCGGUGGUUCUGAAUGGAAGGGCCAUCGCUCAACGGAUAAAAGGUACUCCGGGGAUAACAGGCUGAUACCGCCCAAGAGUUCAUAUCGACGGCGGUGUUUGGCACCUCGAUGUCGGCUCAUCACAUCCUGGGGCUGAAGUAGGUCCCAAGGGUAUGGCUGUUCGCCAUUUAAAGUGGUACGCGAGCUGGGUUUAGAACGUCGUGAGACAGUUCGGUCCCUAUCUGCCGUGGGCGCUGGAGAACUGAGGGGGGCUGCUCCUAGUACGAGAGGACCGGAGUGGACGCAUCACUGGUGUUCGGGUUGUCAUGCCAAUGGCACUGCCCGGUAGCUAAAUGCGGAAGAGAUAAGUGCUGAAAGCAUCUAAGCACGAAACUUGCCCCGAGAUGAGUUCU